RNAcentral lists this ribosomal RNA (484 nucleotides) under uncultured bacterium. RNAcentral's name for it is "partial 16S ribosomal RNA". It matches the Rfam family "Bacterial small subunit ribosomal RNA", at positions 28 to 523 of the family's 1533-position model. The record is from RNAcentral.
GACGAACGCUGGCGGCGUGCUUAACACAUGCAAGUCGAACGGAAAGGCCCUGCUUUUGUGGGGUGCUCGAGUGGCGAACGGGUGAGUAACACGUGAGUAACCUGCCCUUGACUUUGGGAUAACUUCAGGAAACUGGGGCUAAUACCGGAUAGGAGCUCCUGCUGCAUGGUGGGGGUUGGAAAGUUUCGGCGGUUGGGGAUGGACUGGCGGCUUAUCAGCUUGUUGGUGGGGUAGUGGCUUACCAAGGCUUUGACGGGUAGCCGGCCUGAGAGGGGGACCGGCCACAUUGGGACUGAGAUACGGCCCAGACUCCUACGGGGGGCAGCAGUGGGGAAUAUUGAACAAUGGGCGGAAGCCUGAUGCAGCAACGCCGCGUGCGGGAUGACGGCCUUCGGGUUGUAAACCGCUGUCGCCUGUGACGAAGCGUGAGUGACGGUAAUGGGUAAAGAAGCACCGGCUAACUACGUGCCAGCAGCCGCCGUAA